Long non-coding RNA from Dromaius novaehollandiae (emu), 2085 nucleotides. The record is from Ensembl. Lineage: Eukaryota; Metazoa; Chordata; Aves; Casuariiformes; Dromaiidae.
GAUAGCUGUAUUAGUGUUGAAGUAUUCUUCUGCUGGAUGUAAGACUAAAAAAAAAAAAAAAAAAAAAAAAGGGGGGGGUGAUAUGUAAAAGGGGAUGUGAUAUUGUCCUCAACUCUUUUUUGUUUUUUUUUCUGAAUAGCCCCAUUACUGUGAAGACGGCUACUGGUGUCGCAAACUAGGGAAGGGCUGCAUCAACUCUUCGGUGCCGUGGCGGCAGCUCUGCUCUGGGACUGCCUUGUGUGUGUCUGUACUCAUCAAGCUUCACUGAAGUCAAGGAAGUUACAUUUCACGUACACCACGGUAAUGAGAUGAGAACUAUAGAUUCUCUUCUGCUAAAGAUUUCAGCAUCUGAUCCUGAAGAUUAGCAUUUAUCAUGUUGAGAUUUGGGCAGCAUCUCAUCAAGCCUUCUGUGGUCUUCGUGAAGACAGAGCUCUCCUUUGCUCUUGUGAACCGGAAGCCAGUGGUCCCAGGGCGUAUCCUUUCAGCCAGAGCCUCAGUCAUGAGCACGUAUGAGCCGUUCAGCGUUCUGUGGAAAAGUGGGAGACACUCUGCACGUUCUGAAGGCCAGGCUUGUCUACCACAUUUCAUUCUCAUAUUUACGCAGGAUGAAAAAAAAAGYCUGAAACAGAAUACUGCAGUGAUUCAAACCCCUUUCAUCUGAGUGUCUCUCAGCAUGUUAUUCACCAUAUCACAACGGAACGGAUCACACCCCUCAGAUUUAAUUGGCAAAUCCCAUUGUUAUGAGACCUCAACGUAUACUAAAGUGACUCUAUUUUGCAAUGAGCACACAAUGUGCUAUUCUCUGUUGAGCACAAUGAAUAUUUAUAUUCCUCCACUCUUCUCUGGGAGAGUCAGAAUUGUUUUAUGGUAGCUGCAUCCUUCAGGACUCUUUCAUUUUGUUUCCCGUUUCAAGCCUUAAAUAUUUUUUUCAGUGAUUGUGAAAAUGUGUCUCACCAGUUUCUUUUGUCGCUGUUGGAUCUUCAUUCCUGGACUGUUGCCUACGGUAUUUUUUUUGUAAAAGGCACUUUUUCUUUGACAUUGCUGUUAAACAUAAUGGGAAACUGGAAGAUGAACAGUGAUAACAAGAAAAGCUAUCUUAAAAAAUAAUUUCCGUUAUGCAGCACAAAAAAAAAGUUUAGUUCUGUGCUAACAAUGUUGUCUCUUCAUACCAGCAUUCCUAUAAUGAUUUUCAUGGCUGCUCCAAGGUAUAAGAAGUUAUGUUUUUGCCAUCAGUUUGCAAUUUGUGAGGUCACUUUGGUAGAGAAAGUGCUAAGAGAUGAUGCACACAUCUUGAAUUAAUCUUCAAACUAUUGAACUCUCUUUUGAUAACGGAAAAACAAAAAAGUGCCAAGUACAUGAUAUCAUACAGAAAAUACAAUAGUCAAUUAUGUGUUUAAAGAAACUCUGUAUUGUUCUUGGGAAUAUAAGAUUGAGAAUAACUCAAAAGUCAUGUUAAAUACUGUACAAGCACUAGAAUAAUCCCAAAGCUACCUGCUACAGACAAUUCCAAUAUUAUUUAAAUUCCUAUUUUCACAUAGAUAUCAUUGUCCUUUCCAAGAGAUACAAGGUUUUACUAUUGAUUUUGGGGGGAGGAUGUCAAGAGUGUCUGUAAAGCUUGAAUUGAUUUAAUGUCAAAGUCCAAAUACCACAUUASCCCUCUGGAAAUCUAAUUAAUUGAAAUAUAUGCCAUUUUAACAUAUUUGUAGUGAAUGAUGUUAACCAAUACCUGUAGCAAACAGUUUAGCUGCAUUUCCCAGGGCAAUAGAAAUGAGGUUGUCUUGAUAAUGUUAAAGAAUAUUUCUUAUUUGGCUCAGGAUUUGCAGAGAAUAUGAGUUUUCUUCUUGUGACUACACAUGGGUUGAAUUAUAUUUGGGUAUUAAUCAUUCACAGUAUCGCUUUCCACAUUAAUUGUAUAGCAUAUCUUGCUAGUCCAUUUACAACAUAGUAUUGGUAUGUAGUAAACCUGUUCUCCACUUAAUUAGAAAAAAGGAGGAAAAUAAGAAUUUGUGAGUAUGUUUGACAAAGCCAUUCUGGCGGAAAACAGCCACAAUUGAAUAAAAAUAUACAUAAAGAUGAUCGAGGUCA